This is a long non-coding RNA of Carassius carassius (crucian carp), 487 nucleotides long. RefSeq lists it as uncharacterized. The record is from RefSeq and is a predicted model, not a curated record. Lineage: Eukaryota; Metazoa; Chordata; Actinopteri; Cypriniformes; Cyprinidae. The transcript has 2 exons.
CAAAUUAUGCUUGUGCAUCAACGCAAGCUGGGGAUGAGUUUUCGGCGGAAGGGUUAGAUUGUGUGGAUCGCAUGAUCAAGCAUUUCAGAUGACCGAAAUUUGAGGGUUUCACAUUUAUCGCACACAAUUCUUCGGGUUUCGACUCUUUUAUACUGCUCGAGUAUUUUACUAGUCAGGGACUAACUCCAAAAAUCAUACUCCAAGGCUGUAGACUUGUUUACAUGUACGACCAAGCCUUUAAACAGAGAUACAUCGACAGCUAUAGCUUCUUGCCCAUAAAAUUGUCAAAAAUGACCUCGGCUUUAAACCUAAACACCAGCGAAAAAGUAUCCUUUUGGAUGUAUAACAUUAGCCGGAUGUGCUAUGAAAGUGUUCAAAACGCUUUUUUUAACCAAAGACACAAUUGCCUUAACGCACAAAAAUGCCUACAUCAAUCAGUACAAAUCUUACUCAAACCCUUCCAUACAAUGGUUGGAAUACAUUAAAG